UACGAAGGGGGCUAGCGUUGUUCGGAAUUACUGGGCGUAAAGGGCUCGUAGGCGCCAACUAAGUCAUACGUGAAAUCCCUCGGCUUAACCGGGGAACUGCGUCUGAUACUGGAUGGCUUGAGUUCGGGAGAGGGAUGCGGAAUUCCAGGUGUAGCGGUGAAAUGCGUAGAGAUCCGGAAGAACACCGGUGGCGAAGGCGGCCUGCUGGGCAGUUGCUGACACUGAGGCGCGACAGCGUGGGGAGCAAACAGG
This 252-nucleotide ribosomal RNA is filed under the name uncultured bacterium. Its description in RNAcentral is "partial 16S ribosomal RNA". It matches the Rfam family "Bacterial small subunit ribosomal RNA", at positions 524 to 776 of the family's 1533-position model. The record is from RNAcentral.